RNAcentral lists this long non-coding RNA (4886 nucleotides) under Brassica napus (rape). Its description in RNAcentral is "long non-coding RNA (BNAP_LNC019634)". The record is from RNAcentral. Lineage: Eukaryota; Viridiplantae; Streptophyta; Magnoliopsida; Brassicales; Brassicaceae.
AAUUUCUUCAUCCCAGCUCCUAUGAGAUUUAUUCAACUUCCUGAUGAUUCUCCACCACUUUAUGUAUCCAAAUAAAGCUUCUCACAAAGAGAUUCAUCCUGGUUUGAUUGGAAGGACGAAGAAGCUGUGCUAUUCCCAAACUGGGAAACUAGAAUCACCUGAUUUGAAAGUGGGAUAACUUCUUCAUAAAAUGAGCUUUAAACAAUAUUGAAUUCAUAGAAGCAAUCCAAUUUACAUCAAAUCUAAAUAUUUUAGAGUUGUGGCUUGGUUUGUUUUAAAUUGCCGUUUGGAUUUACCGCCGACAUGUCAUCAAAAACAUAUCUUAGCCAUACAUUGGAAUUUCAAACGUAUUAUAAUUAUUGGCUAUAAAAUAUUUCCAUGAAUUUAAUUCCAAAAAGUUAUAGGACAUCAUAUAUUUUCAAAAUACACUAAGUUGGAUUAAACAAUAUUGUCAUAUUAAAAGGUUAAGAAACUUGUUGACAUUUUGUUUUAUCAAGUUUACUUAUGUAUCCAAAAUAGUGUGACAUCCUAGUUCGAUUGGAUCAGAUUUUAGAAAGUGGGAUAACUUCUUCAUCCCAACUCCUAUGAGAUUUAUUCAACUUCCUGGUGAUUCUCCAACACUUUAUGUAUCCAAAUCAAGCUUCUUACAAAGUGAUUCAUCCUGGUUUGAUUGGAACGACGAAGAAGCUGUCCUAUUCCCAAACUGGGAAACUGGAAUCACCUGAUUAGAAAGUGGGAUAACUUCUUCAUCCCAACUCCUAUGAGAUAUUCUCUUCCCUGUAGACAAGCAGUAGAAGGGCUACGUCGGAUGAGUGUCAAACAUAUUGUUAAAAUAUAUCCAAUGAGAGAUAAAUGAAAAGUAAGAAGCUCAUCAGGAAGUUGAAUAAAUCUCCGGACUGAGAUAAAUGAAAAGUUAAUGGUUUACCUUUCUCUUUUCUCUAUUAAUAUGUGUAACCAAGCUUGCAGUGUAGAACCAGGUACAAAGUCUAUUUGGUGCUCAAUCCACUUGAUUCUGAAUUUGAGCAUGGAUGGACCUUCCUUGCAGUGCCAAUAAGACUUUAUAGUGCUAUCCCAAUAAUUGUUUCGGUAAAACAACGAAACAGUAGUGGUAUUUCACUUGGUAAACUAAGUAUCAAUAUUCUAUUACACUUCGAAUGCUAUCCCACCUUCUUUUCCAAAAUAUAUAAUCCCGAAGUUAACAAUAAAUUAUGUUUGAUAUCCCAGGCGGUUGGAUUCUCUGACGUCAUCGUUAAUACGCUAUUGGAGCUGGAAUUACCGCCGACGGAUUAUUGGCAUCCGUUCGUUGUUUUUAUCCCACUUUUUGUAAUGGUGCAAUUAUUUUUUUUUAGAUUAAUUGUAACCAGACUCUAUCACACUAAUCUCCCUAAAUUAGUGGUCAAAGACUCACCAGACGCGUGGGCGACGUAAUCGUCAAAGUACGGAACUCUGAGACCGUUAGUCAACGAAGACAGGUCAAGACUCUUGUGAGCGAGAUCAUCAUUCACGUAAAGAUUGAACACUAGCGUGUUCAUCGUCGCUUGACUCACGAUAUCGCAGAAGUGAACACGAACGAAGUAUCUAUCUUCAGCAAGGUUAGAGGCAUAAAUAGCUGUGUAGACGAAUCUGAUAGUUCCUACCACUUUGAUUUCGCACGUGAGCGACUGUUACUCAUUAUGGUCCUUUCGGAGGAGGUCCUCAACCCGAAAAUCCGAAACUUCUAAUAUUAUAUAUAUAUGGGUGUUUCAGUUUAUUUUUGGUAUUAUAGGUAUUUUUUUAAGUUUCAAAUUUUUAUUUUUGGGUAUAGUUUUGGGUUUCGAUAAAAAACUAGAUUUUCAAAAAUAUAAUUAGGAUAAUCGGAUAAAAUUUUGGAUAUUUUUAUGUCUUUGGAUCAGAUUUUAGAUAAAAUUUAUCAUAUUUUCGAGUAUUUAAAUAUAUUCAAGUAUUUUCUAUGUAUCAUGCUUUUAAUUUAUGACAAUUUAUAAGUUUAUUUUUAAUGCAGUGUAAAAUCACUGAUCCAAAAGUAACGUGAGGUUAAACUGGAAUCACCUGAUUAGAAAGUGGGAUAACUUCUUCAUCCCAACUCCUAUGAGAUUUAUUCAACUUCCUGGUGAUUCUCCAACACUUUAUGUAUCCAAAUCAAGCUUCUUACAAAGUGAUUCAUCCUGGUUUGAUUGGAACGACGAAGAUGCUGUCCUAUUCCCAAAGUGGGAAACUGGAAUCACCUGAUUAGAAAGUGGGAUAACUUCUUCAUCCCAACUCCUAUGAGAUAUUCUCUUCCCUGUAGACAAGCAGUAGAAGGGCUACGUCGGAUGAGUGUCAAACAUAUUGUUAAAAUAUAUCCAAUGAGAGAUAAAUGAAAAGUAAGAAGCUCAUCAGGAAGUUGAAUAAAUCUCCGGACUGAGAUAAAUGAAAAGUUAAUGGUUUACCUUUCUCUUUUCUCUAUUAAUAUGUGUAACCAAGCUUGCAGUGUAGAACCAGGUACAAAGUCUAUUUGGUGCUCAAUCCACUUGAUUCUGAAUUUGAGCAUGGAUGGACCUUCCUUGCAGUGCCAAUAAGACUUUAUAGUGCUAUCCCAAUAAUUGUUUCGGUAAAACAACGAAACAGUAGUGGUAUUUCACUUGGUAAACUAAGUAUCAAUAUUCUAUUACACUUCGAAUGCUAUCCCACCUUCUUUUCCAAAAUAUAUAAUCCCGAAGUUAACAAUAAAUUAUGUUUGAUAUCCCAGGCGGUUGGAUUCUCUGACGUCAUCGUUAAUACGCUAUUGGAGCUGGAAUUACCGCCGACGGAUUAUUGGCAUCCGUUCGUUGUUUUUAUCCCACUUUUUGUAAUGGUGCAAUUAUUUUUUUUUAGAUUAAUUGUAACCAGACUCUAUCACACUAAUCUCCCUAAAUUAGUGGUCAAAGACUCACCAGACGCGUGGGCAACGUAAUCGUCAAAGUACGGAACUCUGAGACCGUUAGUCAACGAAGACAGGUCAAGACUCUUGUGAGCGAGAUCAUCAUUCACGUAAAGAUUGAACACUAGCGUGUUCAUCAUCGCUUGACUCACGAUAUCGCAGAAAUGAACACGAACUGAGAUAACUUCUUCAUCCCAACUCCUAUGAGAUUUAUUUAAUUUCCUGGUCAUUAUACACCACUUUAUGUAUCCAAAUCAAGCUUCUUACAAAUUGAUUCAUCCUGGUUUGAUUGUAACGACGAAGAAGCUGUCCUAUUCCCAAACUGGAAAACUGGAAUCACCUGAUUUGAAAGUGGGAUAACUUAUUCAUCCCAACUCCUAUGAGAUUUAUUCAACUUGCUGGUGAUUCUCCACCACUUUAUGUAUCCAAAUCAAGCUUCCUACAAAGUGACUCAUCCUGCUUUGAUUGGAACGACGAAGAAGAUGUCCUAUUCCCAAACUGGAAAACUCUUCUUUCAAAGUGAUUCAUCCUGCUUUGAUUGGAAUGACAAAGAAGCUAUCCUAUUCCCAAACUGGGAAACUGGAAUCACCUGAUUUGAAAGUGAGAUAACUUCUUCAUCCCAACUCCUAUGAGAUUUAUUCAACUUCCUGGUCAUUCUCCACCAUUUUAUGUAUCCAAAUCAAGCUUCUUCCAAAGUGAUUCAUCCCGCUUUGAUUGGAACAACGAAGAAGUUGUCCUAUUCCCAAACUGGGAAACUGGAAUCAUCUGAUUUGAAAGUGGAAUAACUUCUUCAUCCCAAAUCCUAUGAGAUUUAUUCAACUUCUUGGUCAUUCUCCACCACUUUAUGUCUCCAAAUCAAGCUUCUUACAUAGUGAUUCAUCCUGCUUUGAUUGGAACGACGAAGAAGCUAUCCUAUUCCAAAACUGGGAAACUAAAAUCACCUGAUUUGAAAGUGGGAUAGCUUCUUCAUCCCAACUCCUAUGAGAUUUAUUCAACUUCCUGGUCAUUCUCCACCACUUAAUGUAUCCAAAUCAAGCUUCUUACAAAGUGAUUCAUCCUGGUUUGAUUGGAAAGACGAAGAAGCUGUCCUAUUCCCAAACUGGGAAACUGGAAUCACCUGAUUUGAAAGUGGGAUAACUUCUUCAUCCCAACUCCUAUGAGAUUUAUUCAACUUGCUGGUGAUUCUCCAACACUUAUAUAUCCAAAUCAAGGUUCUUUCAAAGUGAUUCAUCCUGCUUUGAUAGGAAUGACAAAGAAGCUAUCAUAUUCCCAAACUGGGAAACUGGAAUCACCUGAAGUGAGAUAACUUCUUCAUCCCAACUCCUAUGAGAUUUAUUCAACUUCCUGGUGAUUCUUCACCACUUUAUGUAUCCAAAUCAAGCUUCUUACAAAGUGAUUCAUCCUACUUUGAUUGAAACGACGAAGAAGUUGUCCUAUUCCCAAACUGGGAAACUGGAAUCACCUAAUUUGAAAGUGGGAUACCUUCUUCAUCCCAACUCCUAUGAGAUUUAUUCAACUUCCUAGUCAUUCCCCACCACUUAAUGUAUCCAAAUCAAGCUUCUUACAAAGUUAUUCAUCCUGGUUUGAUUGGAACGACGAAGAAGAUGUUCUAUUCCCAAACUGGGAAACUGGAAUCACAUGAUUUAAAAGUGGAAUAACUUCUUCAUCCCAACUCCUAUGAAAUUUAUUCAACUUCCUGGUCAUUCUCCACCACUUUAUUUAUCAAAAUCAUGCUUCUUACAAAGUGUUUCAUCCUUCUUUGAUUGUAACGACGAAGAAGCUGUCCUAUUCCCAAACUGGGAAACUGGAAUCACCUGAUUUGAAAGUGAGAUAACUUCUUCAUCCCAAAUCCUAUGAGAUUUAUUCAACUUCCUCGUGAUUCUCCACCACUUUAUGUAUCCAAAUCAAGCUUCUUACAAAGUGAUUCAUCCUGCUUUGAUUGAAACGACGAAGAAGUUGUCCUAUUCCCAAACUGGGAAACUGGAAUCAC